UUUAAACCUUCAUCAUUUUCUACAACAAUAACAGCUUGUUCGUGAGCGGAGUCCGCUGCAUUCCGGCGAACUCGUCAUAAUGGCAUGUGAGCACAUGUUAAACAGUUGGGGUGUGUAAGCUUUUCUGGUUAUUUUAUCAACGAUAAUCGCAGCAACAUAGCAGCCAUAUGGCUUGCUCUAUAAAAGUUGUGCACUUAAUUUCCGCCAAAGCUUCACAGUGGAAUGCUGUAGAACAGAGUAGAACACUAGAACUACAUUCCUGUUACAUACUGUGUGUCUUCGUAUAAAAAUAGGAAGGGGGACCUAGAGCGAAGGAGGGAGCAUUGAAGGAGAGGGAGGGAGAACGCUGGAUACAGCACAUCUUUCCAUCCUACGUUCCCCACUCGCAUUUGAGGAAAUUGGAACUCUGUUAAGCCCAUAUACCUGGGAAGAUGCCUACGAUGCGCCACGCACGUUGCCUCAAAGGAAACGGACUGACUGCUGAGAACGACCGAGAGUAUUCCUGAAUAAACGAGGGACACCUGACCAAAAUAAAGAGAGUUGCCGGCCGUGGCUGCCAUGGACAUGGCUGCGCUGGAGUCCGAGGUUUACCAGCCUCCACACCUCUCUACUGGACAGUGACCAGCCUCCAUUCUCUACUGGAUACUGGCCAGCCUCCACUCCUCUCCACAUGACAGUGACCAGCCUCCAGGCCCUCUACAGGAUAUCCAGCCUCCAGUCUCUAAAGGACAGGGACUUCCAGUCUCUUCUACAGGAUCGUGAAAGCAUCCUCGUUACUUGGAAUGUGAUGGAGCCAGUGAUGUGAACUGUGACAUGCUGGAAGUUUUGUGGUUGUUCUGUCUCCUCGGGCAGCCACUCUCCCGACCCGAUCCGCUAUGCAGCCGAGAGAGGCUCGACAUUGUUAGCAGAACAAAAAACGAGCUGUCCAAGGUGUCAGAGGGUUUGAACCUCACUCUGUACACGCCCACCACCACCGACAUGCAGAGUUGUCGAAAUGCCUCUCUGAAGUGCUUCUUGGAUGAGGUGAAGGUCCUGUAUAUAGAGCUGGACGUGGCAGGAGAGUCUCUAAAAGGGUUGAUCAAGAGUAUGAACAGAACCCUAUCACUCCUUUCCACAUACCCUGUGCCGGAGGCCAGCUGUGAGCUUAUGUCCUGUGAGCUUCAUCCCGAGAUGUCAGCGGAUAGUUUCCUCCAUAAUCUAGGCAUAAUCUUAGAGGGGUUGAACUCUUCCUACUGUAGGAAGAGGUAGGUAGCGGGGGAAGCAAUGCUGUAUCCCUUGAGUUGCUUUUUUCUACAACUCAAAAUACACACAAACAACAGCUGCAAUGAUGGAGGCUUGUUGGAGGAGGAGGAUGGGUGACAAGCUGAUAUAAAGACUAUAACCGCUAUUGGUUAGUGUUUGUUAUUGGUUUAGGUUCAGUUUCACACAUUCCUUUCUCAAUUAUGGGAUGAGUAUAUAUUUUAUUGAACUACUUAGAUAAUGACUGGUACAUAUACAUUUCAGCACAAACUGCCAAUCAUAUGGUAUGUUAAUAAAAUCUGUGGUGUUAUAUUUCCUGGUUUCUUAUAUGUAUUAUAUUGGUAACAGGAUAAUAACAAAAGGGAAUUGAUUAAUGCUUAGAAAGUCAUAUAAACCAAAUCCAUCUCAAUUAAGGGACUAAGGGAAAAAAACACAUUUGAACACCGAAACUCGGUUCCAGUAGGUAACCUGUUCCGAAGUAAACGGUAGUACCGAGAUCGAAUAAGAACGCACAUUUCGGUGCCUCAUAACGGUGCCUGACUUUUUUUAACGUCCCCUGCCCCGCCCCCAUGGUGUCGCGGCGUCAACUUGCGUUAGUGCUGGGCGCUAUACAGUUUUACACUGAAUAAGGUGUGUGUAUUUUCGUUGUAAUAUGAUUUUUUUAUAUACCGCCACACCGGUGUAUUUGAUUACACAACGUUCGGAAUUCGGAGCCGCGCGACACUGACGGGACCCUUUUUCAAAGUUGCGCUUCGCACGCAUGGUACGACUACGACUGCGUUUUUCUUCAUAAGUCCAUUGCCGCGUUCCAAUAUCCAUACUAUCCGUACUUACUAGCCUAAGUUUGAGUACGUAGGGCGUUCCGAUUCAGAUCGGGCGAAAAUAAUUGUACUGAAAGGAGCCGGUUUAAGUACCAUAUCGGCUCGGCUUCCAGAUCGGCUCGGGGUCCGUCGUCUUCUGAUUACGUUACACAAUAUCAUUGGCUGUACGCUUGAAUGGGCGUACAUGUGAUUGGCUGUACGUCGGACAGUUGUGAUUGGCUGUUUUGUGCUGUAGCUCUGGCUGUAGUCAUAGCAACCACGAGGCAACAGCGAGCACAUGUGUGAGCGCGAGUAGGUGUCUAGUUUAGGUUUGUGUUGCCAGAUUGGGCAUAUGUCCCGUUUUUCCAGCCUGACGUGAUUCAAAGUAGCCAAAUCAGGCUGAAAAUGUGCCAAUCUGGCAACACGGACGGCUUAUCUUAACAGCCAAGAUGAUUCCGAGGGAUGUUUUGUUUUUAGAAGAAAACUAUCCAUACAGAUAGGUUGGGAAUGGUCUAUGUUCAAAAUGAAAGAUCAUUACAGGCUCUUUAAUUUAAGCCAUAAAAAAC
Gadus chalcogrammus (walleye pollock) is the source of this 2605-nucleotide long non-coding RNA. RefSeq lists it as uncharacterized. The record is from RefSeq and is a predicted model, not a curated record. NCBI's taxonomy places the organism in Eukaryota, Metazoa, Chordata, Actinopteri, Gadiformes, Gadidae. The transcript is spliced from 6 exons.